GAAAAACUUAAUUGCAUUUCCGGGCAGCUAUAUAAACCACUGGGGAACCAUAGUUCGGCGCGGCCUGUGUGUUCACCCGGAGUCGUUUCUCACACGGACACCAACACGGAUUUAGCACGCAGACGAACGUCCGCUGUUUUAAUCCCUUCCGAGCCGGGUCGUCGUUCAGUAGCAUGCAAAAUAUGUUAACCAUUAUCUCUAACGCACUUUGUAGGAUCACUGGCCGACAUGCGGGAGCCCAAACAGUGUCCGAGUUGCUGAUCGACCUGUCAGAGUACGUCAGUGUCACCUCGCCGGCGGCGCCCGCCUUGGCACAGACGCAGCGGCAACCACCUAAACCACCACCAGUCAGCUCUAGGGCGUCUGCUGCACAGUUAGUUAGCGCCCAGGCCGACCAGCUAGACAGACCAGUAAGAACAAGUAGCAUCCUCCAGGUGUGCCUGAUCACUAACGGGGGGGAAUCUGAACAAGUCUGUGGCUGGUUUUAAAACUCUGAUUCUAAAGCUGUCGGUAGCGUCAGCUCUUGGUUCUGGGUCUUCUCUUCUCUUUCUGGGAAAUGUGUGAAAUCACGACAUGAAGAAAUAGAGCAGCACGUAUUUAUCAUGUCCACUAACGAUUGUUAGUUCCUGAUCUAUGAAUGUUUAUUUUAUUGUUUCAUCAGAAAUCUGUUCCCGGAGCUCGAGAGAAACUGAAAUACUCGUUUAGUUUGACCCCAAAAUAUUGAAUUUACAAAACCCAGCGUCUUAAACGACUCGAGUGACAUUUGUUUUCUAAUCUUCUGAUAAUCUGUGAGCUGCGUUUACGCGUUACUAAACACUUUUACACUUUCUGUUGUUGCUGAAGUCAAACAUGAAGCGAUGAAAUGGUUUAGCAACAAGUGAGCUGUUUAUUUAAAAUAGUUUUAAAUAUUCAAACUGUCAGGAAUGAUCUUCAUGACUAAAAACUGAAACUUAAUUUGAACUAGUAAAAUAACUUUUGUGAAGUCUGUACGUCGUCAGACCGGCAGCGACUGAACGUCUGAACAAGCUCCUGAAUCGAGAACUUUUUAUAUUUUCUCAGAAACACGGUUGUUGGUGAACAAUAUCUGAAAGAUUCAGCUGGUGUUUUCUCCCACCCUGUUACUGACCCCCCCCCCCCCCACACACACACAUGCACUUUACAGACCACUGUAGUCCAGUGUGAACCCCCACCAGACCUGAUCCUCCCCCCUCACUAACGCUGUGAAGAGGAGGGUAGCCGUGUGUGUGUGUGUGUGUGUGUGAAUAAUAAAUUGAGAUGAUUCUCAGUUUGAGGGCAGGAACUACUUUCCCUCUGACACGUACCAGACCCCAUAGAGAAAUAUUGCAAUUUCAGCCUUCAGCACAACGUGUGUGUGUGUGUGUGUGUGUGUGUUAAUGACGGAUGUUUGUGUGUUUUUGGUCACCAGGGUGCCAGAGUUGUGGUUUCCCGCUCUUUUGCUGACUGUCACCUCUCAGGCGACCUUUGACAUCAAGGUGGGUCGAAACGAAAACACUUUGUUACCUUUAAUGCCACAUUUAUUCUGUCGUCGUAUUUAUCUGCGAUUUGUUAUUUAAAUGUGUGCCUCCCCAGAAAAAUAAACCUACCAAAGGGACAACAUCGAUAGGGUUAGUUAGCGGCGUCGUUUUUGUCAAUUAUGCACCAAAGCUAUGGAACACUUUACCUGCAGACAUUAGGGAGGCAAGCUCGCUCAGUAUCUUCACAAGUAAACUGAAGACAUAUCUCUUUACUUUAGCCUUUUAAUGGUGAUAUUUUAUAUCUCUUUACUUUAGCCUUUUAAUAGUGAUAUUUUAUAUCUCUUUACUUUAGCCUUUUAAUGGUGAUAUUUUAUAUCUCUUUACUUUAGCCUUUUAAUAGUGAUAUUUUAUAUCUCUUUACUUUAGCCUUUUAAUAGUGAUAUUUUAUAUCUCUUUACUUUAGCCUUUUAAUAGUGAUAUUUUAUAUCUCUUUACUUUAGCCUUUUAAUAGUGAUAUUUUAUAUCUCUUUACUUU
This 2010-nucleotide long non-coding RNA is filed under the name Cottoperca gobio. RNAcentral's name for it is "lncRNA (ENSCGOG00000008837.1)". The record is from RNAcentral. Lineage: Eukaryota; Metazoa; Chordata; Actinopteri; Perciformes; Bovichtidae.